This 465-nucleotide ribosomal RNA is filed under the name Vreelandella stevensii. RNAcentral's name for it is "partial 16S ribosomal RNA". It matches the Rfam family "Bacterial small subunit ribosomal RNA", at positions 338 to 795 of the family's 1533-position model. The record is from RNAcentral. Lineage: Bacteria; Pseudomonadati; Pseudomonadota; Gammaproteobacteria; Oceanospirillales; Halomonadaceae.
CCUACGGGGUGCAGCAGUGGGGAAUAAUGGACAAUGGGCGAAAGCCUGAUCCAGCCAUGCCGCGUGUGUGAAGAAGGCCUUCGGGUUGUAAAGCACUUUCAGUGGGGAAGAAAGCCUUGGGGCUAAUACCCUCGAGGAAGGACAUCACCCACAGAAGAAGCACCGGCUAACUCCGUGCCAGCAGCCGCGGUAAUACGGAGGGUGCGAGCGUUAAUCGGAAUUACUGGGCGUAAAGCGCGCGUAGGCGGUCUGAUAAGCCGGUUGUGAAAGCCCCGGGCUCAACCUGGGAACGGCAUCCGGAACUGUCAGGCUAGAGUGCAGGAGAGGAAGGUAGAAUUCCCGGUGUAGCGGUGAAAUGCGUAGAGAUCGGGAGGAAUACCAGUGGCGAAGGCGGCCUUCUGGACUGACACUGACGCUGAGGUGCGAAAGCGUGGGUAGCAAACAGGAUUAGAUACCCGGGUAGUC